GAUGAACGCUGGCGGCGUGCCUAAUACAUGCAAGUCGAGCGAACGGACGAGAAGCUUGCUUCUCUGAUGUUAGCGGCGGACGGGUGAGUAACACGUGGAUAACCUACCUAUAAGACUGGGAUAACUUCGGGAAACCGGAGCUAAUACCGGAUAAUAUUUUGAACCGCAUGGUUCAAAAGUGAAAGACGGUCUUUCUGUCACUUAUAGAUGGAUCCGCGCUGCAUUAGCUAGUUGGUAAGGUAACGGCUUACCAAGGCAACGAUGCAUAGCCGACCUGAGAGGGUGAUCGACCACACUGGAACUGAGACACGGUCCAGACUCCUACGGGAGGCAGCAGUAGGGAAUAUUCCGCAAUGGGCGAAAGCCUGACGGAGCAACGCCGCGUGAGAGAUGAAGGUCUUCGGAUCGUAAAACUCUGUUAUUAGGGAAGAACAUAUGUGUAAGUAACUGUGCACAUCUUGACGGUACCUAAUCAGAAAGCCACGGCUAACUACGUG
Molecule: ribosomal RNA, 497 nt
Filed under: uncultured bacterium
Lineage: Bacteria
Description: partial 16S ribosomal RNA
Rfam family: Bacterial small subunit ribosomal RNA
Source: RNAcentral